RNAcentral lists this ribosomal RNA (292 nucleotides) under uncultured bacterium. RNAcentral's name for it is "partial 16S ribosomal RNA". It matches the Rfam family "Bacterial small subunit ribosomal RNA", at positions 505 to 796 of the family's 1533-position model. The record is from RNAcentral.
GUGCCAGCAGCCGCGGUAAUACGUAGGUGGCGAGCGUUGUCCGGAAUUACUGGGUGUAAAGGGCGUGUAGGCGGGAUUGCAAGUCAGAUGUGAAAUUCCGGGGCUUAACCUCGGCGCUGCAUCUGAAACUGUGAUUCUUGAGUGAUGGAGAGGAAAGUGGUAUUCCUAGUGUAGCGGUGAAAUGCGUAGAUAUUAGGAGGAACACCAGUGGCGAAGGCGACUUUCUGGACAUUAACUGACGCUGAGGCGCGAAAGCGUGGGGAGCAAACAGGAUUAGAAACCCCUGUAGUCC